This 255-nucleotide unclassified non-coding RNA is filed under the name plant metagenome. RNAcentral describes it as "partial contains small subunit ribosomal RNA, internal transcribed spacer 1, and 5.8S ribosomal RNA". The stretch from base 206 to 255 matches the Rfam family "5.8S ribosomal RNA", at positions 1 to 49 of the family's 154-position model. The record is from RNAcentral.
UUUCCGUAGGUGAACCUGCGGAAGGAUCAUUACAGUAGUCACCCAGGUUGCCGCAAGGCCUCCUGGGUAACCUACCACCCUUUGUUUAUUACACUUUGUUGCUUUGGCAAGCCUGCCCUCGGGCUGCUGGCUCCGGCCGGCGAGCGCUUGCCAGAGGACCUAAACUCUGUUUGUCUAUACUGUCUGAGUACUAUAUAAUAGUUAAAACUUUCAACAACGGAUCUCUUGGUUCUGGCAUCGAUGAAAGAACGCAGC